AUACAGAGGGUGCUAGCGUUAAUCGGAUUUACUGGGCGUAAAGCGCGCGUAGGUGGUUUGGUAAGCGAUCUGUGAAAGCCCCGGGCUUAACCUGGGAAUUGCAGGUCGAACUGCCAGGCUAGAGUAUGGUAGAGGGGUGUGGAAUUUCCUGUGUAGCGGUGAAAUGCGUAGAUAUAGGAAGGAACAUCAGUGGCGAAGGCGACACCCUGGACCGAUACUGACACUGAGGCGCGAAAGCGUGGGUAGC
Molecule: ribosomal RNA, 247 nt
Filed under: uncultured bacterium
Lineage: Bacteria
Description: partial 16S ribosomal RNA
Rfam family: Bacterial small subunit ribosomal RNA
Source: RNAcentral